UUUUUAUACUGAGCGUAUUGGAACGUUAUCGAUAAGAAGAGAGCGUCUAGGCGAACAAUGUUCUUAAAGUUUGACCUCAAAUCAGGUAGGAGUACCCGCUGAACUUAAGCAUAUCAAUAAGCGGAGGAAAAGAAACCAACCGGGAUUGCCUUAGUAACGGCGAGUGAAGCGGCAAAAGCUCAAAUUUGAAAUCUGGUACCUUCGGUGCCCGAGUUGUAAUUUGGAGAGGGCAACUUUGGGGCCGUUCCUUGUCUAUGUUCCUUGGAACAGGACGUCAUAGAGGGUGAGAAUCCCGUGUGGCGAGGAGUGCGGUUCUUUGUAAAGUGCCUUCGAAGAGUCGAGUUGUUUGGGAAUGCAGCUCUAAGUGGGUGGUAAAUUCCAUCUAAAGCUAAAUAUUGGCGAGAGACCGAUAGCGAACAAGUACAGUGAUGGAAAGAUGAAAAGAACUUUGAAAAGAGAGUGAAAAAGUACGUGAAAUUGUUGAAAGGGAAGGGCAUUUGAUCAGACAUGGUGUUUUGUGCCCUCUGCUCCUUGUGGGUAGGGGAAUCUCGCAUUUCACUGGGCCAGCAUCAGUUUUGGUGGCAGGAUAAAUCCAUAGGAAUGUAGCUUGCCUCGGUAAGUAUUAUAGCCUGUGGGAAUACUGCCAGCUGGGACUGAGGACUGCGACGUAAGUCAAGGAUGCUGGCAUAAUGGUUAUAUGCCGCGGCUUGAAACACGGACCAAGGAGUCUAACGUCUAUGCGAGUGUUUGGGUGUAACACCCAUACGCGUAAUGAAAGUGAACCUAGGUUG
Molecule: ribosomal RNA, 791 nt
Filed under: Saccharomyces cf. cerevisiae/paradoxus
Lineage: Eukaryota; Fungi; Ascomycota; Saccharomycetes; Saccharomycetales; Saccharomycetaceae
Description: LSU rRNA
Rfam family: Eukaryotic large subunit ribosomal RNA
Source: RNAcentral